GACGAACGCUGGCGGCGUGCUUAACACAUGCAAGUCGAACGGAAAGGCCCUGCUUUUGUGGGGUGCUCGAGUGGCGAACGGGUGAGUAACACGUGAGUAACCUGCCCUUGACUUUGGGAUAACUUCAGGAAACUGGGGCUAAUACCGGAUAGGAGCUCCUGCUGCAUGGUGGGGGUUGGAAAGUUUCGGCGGUUGGGGAUGGACUCGCGGCUUAUCAGCUUGUUGGUGGGGUAGUGGCUUACCAAGGCUUUGACGGGUAGCCGGCCUGAGAGGGUGACCGGCCACAUUGGGACUGAGAUACGGCCCAGACUCCUACGGGAGGCAGCAGUGGGGAAUAUUGCACAAGGGGCGGAAGCCUGAUGCAGCAACGCCGCGUGCGGGAGGACGGCCUUCGGGUUGGAAACCGCUUUCGCCUGUGACGAAGCGUGAGUGACGGUAAUGGGUAAAGAAGCACCGGCUAACUACGU
RNAcentral lists this ribosomal RNA (467 nucleotides) under uncultured bacterium. RNAcentral describes it as "partial 16S ribosomal RNA". It matches the Rfam family "Bacterial small subunit ribosomal RNA", at positions 28 to 506 of the family's 1533-position model. The record is from RNAcentral.